UACGUAGGCAGCAAGCGUUGUUCGGAGUUACUGGGCGUAAAGGGUGCGUAGGCGGCUUUUUAAGUUUAGUGUGAAAUCUCCCGGCUCAACUGGGAGGGUGCGCCGAAUACUGAGAGGCUAGAGUGUGGGAGAGGAAAGUGGAAUUCCUGGUGUAGCGGUGAAAUGCGUAGAUAUCAGGAGGAACACCGGUGGUGUAAACGGCUUUCUGGACCAUAACUGACGCUGAUGCACGAAAGCGUGGGUAGCAAACAGG
Molecule: ribosomal RNA, 253 nt
Filed under: uncultured bacterium
Lineage: Bacteria
Description: partial 16S ribosomal RNA
Rfam family: Bacterial small subunit ribosomal RNA
Source: RNAcentral